This 995-nucleotide ribosomal RNA is filed under the name uncultured bacterium. Its description in RNAcentral is "bacterial SSU rRNA". It matches the Rfam family "Bacterial small subunit ribosomal RNA", at positions 356 to 1376 of the family's 1533-position model. The record is from RNAcentral.
GGGGAAUAUUGCACAAUGGGGGAAACCCUGAUGCAGCGACGCCGCGUGAGUGAAGAAGUAUCUCGGUAUGUAAACUUCUAUCAGCAGGGAAGAAAAUGACGGUACCUGACUAAGAAGCCCCGGCUAACUACGUGCCAGCAGCCGCGGUAAUACGUAGGGGGCAAGCGUUAUCCGGAUUUACUGGGUGUAAAGGGCGCGCAGGCGGGUCGGUAAGUUGGAAGUGAAAUCCAUGGGCUCAACCCAUGAACUGCUUUCAAAACUGUUUUUCUUGAGUAGUGCAGAGGUAGGCGGAAUUCCCGGUGUAGCGGUGGAAUGCGUAGAUAUCGGGAGGAACACCAGUGGCGAAGGCGGCCUACUGGGCACCAACUGACGCUGAGGCUCGAAAGUGUGGGUAGCAAACAGGAUUAGAUACCCUGGUAGUCCACACCGUAAACGAUGAUUACUAGGUGUUGGAGGAUUGACCCCUUCAGUGCCGCAGUUAACACAAUAAGUAAUCCACCUGGGGAGUACGACCGCAAGGUUGAAACUCAAAGGAAUUGACGGGGGCCCGCACAAGCAGUGGAGUAUGUGGUUUAAUUCGAAGCAACGCGAAGAACCUUACCAGGUCUUGACAUCGAGUGACGUACCUAGAGAUAGGUAUUUUCUUCGGAACACAAAGACAGGUGGUGCAUGGUUGUCGUCAGCUCGUGUCGUGAGAUGUUGGGUUAAGUCCCGCAACGAGCGCAACCCUUACCAUUAGUUGCUACGCAAGAGCACUCUAAUGGGACUGCCGUUGACAAAACGGAGGAAGGUGGGGAUGACGUCAAAUCAUCAUGCCCCUUAUGACCUGGGCUACACACGUACUACAAUGGCAAUAUAACAGAGGGAAGCAAUACAGCGAUGUGGAGCAAAUCCCCAAAAAUUGUCCCAGUUCAGAUUGCGGGCUGCAACUCGCCUGCAUGAAGUCGGAAUUGCUAGUAAUCGCAGAUCAGCAUGCUGCGGUGAAUACGUUCCCG